This is a long non-coding RNA of Drosophila ananassae, 198 nucleotides long. RefSeq lists it as uncharacterized. The transcript is spliced from 3 exons. The record is from RefSeq and is a predicted model, not a curated record. Lineage: Eukaryota; Metazoa; Arthropoda; Insecta; Diptera; Drosophilidae.
CUGCUGCCUGCCGUCUUGGAUAUGCAAAUUAAGUCGCGAAAUUUGUCUUUAAUUGGUCAAUGGGUAAAGAUGGAAAACUUAAAUGGAAAAUUAAGUUAAUAAAUCAAGAAAUUAACAUCUUAAUUAAAGAACCGGCAGGUAAUUCUCCGUAGUCUCACAAAUCCGUCAUAAAUUCGCAGAAAAUUCACUUUGUGUCGA